This 398-nucleotide ribosomal RNA is filed under the name uncultured bacterium. RNAcentral's name for it is "partial 16S ribosomal RNA". It matches the Rfam family "Bacterial small subunit ribosomal RNA", at positions 523 to 918 of the family's 1533-position model. The record is from RNAcentral.
AUACGUAGGGUGCGAGCGUUGUCCGGAAUUACUGGGCGUAAAGAGCUCGUAGGUGGUUUGUCGCGUCGUCUGUGAAAUUCCGGGGCUUAACUCCGGGCGUGCAGGCGAUACGGGCAUAACUUGAGUACUGUAGGGGAGACUGGAAUUCCUGGUAUAGCGGUGAAAUGCGCAGAUAUCAGGAGGAACACCGGUGGCGAAGGCGGGUCUCUGGGCAGUAACUGACGCUGAGGAGCGAAAGCAUGGGUAGCGAACAGGAUUAGAUACCCUGGUAGUCCAUGCCGUAAACGGUGGGCGCUAGGUGUAGGGGUCUUCCACGACUUCUGUGCCGUAGCUAACGCAUUAAGCGCCCCGCCUGGGGAGCACGGCCGCAAGGCUAAAACUCAAAUGAAUUGACGGGG